AGAGUUUGAUCCUGGCUCAGGAUGAACGCUGGCGGCGUGCUUAACACAUGCAAGUCGAGCGAAGCGCUUAAGUUUGAUUCUUCGGAUGAAGACUUUUGUGACUGAGCGGCGGACGGGUGAGUAACGCGUGGGUAACCUGCCUCAUACAGGGGGAUAACAGUUAGAAAUGACUGCUAAUACCGCAUAAGACCACAAGGUCGCAUGACCAGGUGGUAAAAACUCCGGUGGUAUGAGAUGGACCCGCGUCUGAUUAGGUAGUUGGUGAGGUAACGGCUCACCAAGCCGACGAUCAGUAGCCGACCUGAGAGGGUGACCGGCCACAUUGGGACUGAGACACGGCCCAGACUCCUACGGGAGGCAGCAGUGGGGAAUAUUGCACAAUGGGCGAAAGCCUGAUGCAGCGACGCCGCGUGAAGGAUGAAGUAUUUCGGUAUGUAAACUUCUAUCAGCAGGGAAGAAUUAGGACGGUACCUGACUAAGAAGCCCCGGCUAACUACGUGCCAGCAGCCGCGGUAAUACGUAGGGGGCAAGCGUUAUCCGGAUUUACUGGGUGUAAAGGGAGCGUAGACGGUGUGGCAAGUCUGAUGUGAAAGGCAUGGGCUCAACCUGUGGACUGCAUUGGAAACUGUCAUACUUGAGUGCCGGAGGGGUAAGCGGAAUUCCUAGUGUAGCGGUGAAAUGCGUAGAUAUCGGGAAGAACACCGAUGGCGAAGGCAGCCUGCUGGGCCGCAACUGACGCUGAGGCGCGAAAGCUAGGGGAGCGAACAGGAUUAGAUACCCUGGUAGUCCUAGCCGUAA
RNAcentral lists this ribosomal RNA (798 nucleotides) under uncultured bacterium. Its description in RNAcentral is "bacterial SSU rRNA". It matches the Rfam family "Bacterial small subunit ribosomal RNA", at positions 8 to 805 of the family's 1533-position model. The record is from RNAcentral.